This 1417-nucleotide ribosomal RNA is filed under the name uncultured bacterium. RNAcentral describes it as "bacterial SSU rRNA". It matches the Rfam family "Bacterial small subunit ribosomal RNA". The record is from RNAcentral.
CACAUGCAAGUCGAGCGAAGCACUUAUCACUGAUUACUUCGGUAUGAUGAGAUUUGUGACUGAGCGGCGGACGGGUGAGUAACGCGUGGGAAACCUGCCCUGAUCCGGGGGAUAACAGUUGGAAACGACUACUAAUACCGCAUAAGCGCACAGAAUCGCAUGAUUCAGUGUGAAAAACUCCGGUGGAUCAGGAUGGUCCCGCGUCCGAUUAGCCAGUUGGCGGGGUAACGGCCCACCAAAGCGACGAUCGGUAGCCGACCUGAGAGGGUGACCGGCCACAUUGGGACUGAGACACGGCCCAAACUCCUACGGGAGGCAGCAGUGGGGAAUAUUGCACAAUGGGCGAAAGCCUGAUGCAGCGACGCCGCGUGAGUGAAGAAGUAUUUCGGUAUGUAAAGCUCUAUCAGCAGGGAAGAAAAUGACGGUACCUGCACAAGAAGCCCCGGCUAACUACGUGCCAGCAGCCGCGGUAAUACGUAGGGGGCAAGCGUUAUCCGGAUUUACUGGGUGUAAAGGGAGCGUAGAUGGAAUGGCAAGUCAGAUGUGAAAGGCAUGGGCUCAACUCGUGGACUGCAUUUGAAACUGUCAAUCUGGAGUGUCGGAGGGGCAAGCGGAAUUCCUGGUGUAGCGGUGAAAUGCGUAGAUAUCAGGAGGAACACCGGUGGCGAAGGCGGCUUGCUGGACGAUUACUGACAUUGAGGCUCGAAAGCGUGGGGAGCAAACAGGAUUAGAUACCCUGGUAGUCCACGCGGUAAACGAUGAAUACUAGGUGCUGGGUGCCACAGGCAUUCGGUGCCGCCGCUAACGCAUUAAGUAUUCCACCUGGGGAGUACGUUCGCAAGAAUGAAACUCAAAGGAAUUGACGGGGACCCGCACAAGCGGUGGAGCAUUGUGGUUUAAUUCGAAGCAACGCGAAGAACCUUACCAAGUUCUUGACAUCUCCCUGACCGUCCUGGAAACAGGACUUCUCUUCGGAGCAGGGAUGACAGGUGGUGCAUGGUUGUCGUCAGCUCGUGUCGUGAGAUGUUGGGUUAACGUCCCGCAACGAGCGCAACCCUUAUGUUCAGUAGCCAGCGGUUCGGCCGGGCACUCUGGGCAGACUGCCAGGGAUAACCUGGAGGAAGGCGGGGAUGACGUCAAAUCAUCAUGCCCCUUAUGAUUUGGGCUACACACGUGCUACAAUGGCGUUUAACAGAGGGAAGCAAACCCGCGAGGGGGAGCCAAUCCAAAAACAACGUCCCAGUUCGGACUGUAGUCUGCAACCCGACUACACGAAGCUGGAAUCGCUAGUAAUCGCGAAUCAGAAUGUCGCGGUGAAUACGUUCCCGGGUCUUGUACACACCGCCCGUCACACCAUGGGAGUCGAUAACGCCCGAAGCCGGUGACUCAACCGCAAGGAGAGAGCCGUCGAAGGCGG